UAUCCUUGCAGAGAUCUCAUUGUGAUGGUCA
Molecule: non-coding RNA, 31 nt
Filed under: Rattus norvegicus (Norway rat)
Lineage: Eukaryota; Metazoa; Chordata; Mammalia; Rodentia; Muridae
Source: RNAcentral